This 443-nucleotide ribosomal RNA is filed under the name uncultured bacterium. RNAcentral describes it as "bacterial SSU rRNA". It matches the Rfam family "Bacterial small subunit ribosomal RNA", at positions 28 to 450 of the family's 1533-position model. The record is from RNAcentral.
GAUGAACGCUGGCGGCGUGCUUAACACAUGCAAGUCGAACGAAGCAUUUUACUACGAUUCCUUCGGGAUGACGGUGAUUUGACUGAGUGGCGGACGGGUGAGUAACGCGUGGGUAACCUGCCUUAUACAGGGGGGAUAACAGUUGGAAACGACUGCUAAUACCGCAUAAGCGCACGGUAUCGCAUGAUACAGUGUGAAAAACUCCGGUGGUAUAAGAUGGACCCGCGUCUGAUUAGCUAGUUGGCGGGGUAACGGCCCACCAAGGCGACGAUCAGUAGCCGGCCUGAGAGGGUGAACGGCCACAUUGGAACUGAGACACGGGUCCAAACUCCUACGGGAGGCAGCAGUGGGGGAUAUUGCGCAAUGGGGGCAACCCUGACGCAGCAACGCCGCGUGAAGGAUGAAGGUUUUCGGAUUGUAAACUUCUUUUAUUAAGGACGAAU